RNAcentral lists this ribosomal RNA (248 nucleotides) under uncultured Eubacteriales bacterium. RNAcentral describes it as "uncultured Clostridiales bacterium partial 16S ribosomal RNA". It matches the Rfam family "Bacterial small subunit ribosomal RNA", at positions 524 to 771 of the family's 1533-position model. The record is from RNAcentral. Lineage: Bacteria; Bacillati; Bacillota; Clostridia; Eubacteriales.
UACGUAGGAUGCAAGCGUUAUCCGGAAUGACUGGGCGUAAAGGGUGCGUAGGUGGUUUGCCAAGUUGGCAGCGUAAUUCCGUGGCUUAACCGCGGAACUACUGCCAAAACUGGUAGGCUUGAGUGCGGCAGGGGUAUGUGGAAUUCCUAGUGUAGCGGUGGAAUGCGUAGAUAUUAGGAGGAACACCAGUGGCGAAAGCGACAUACUGGGCCGUAACUGACACUGAGGCACGAAAGCGUGGGGAGCAA